Molecule: ribosomal RNA, 214 nt
Filed under: Stutzerimonas stutzeri
Lineage: Bacteria; Pseudomonadati; Pseudomonadota; Gammaproteobacteria; Pseudomonadales; Pseudomonadaceae
Description: Pseudomonas stutzeri partial 16S ribosomal RNA
Rfam family: Bacterial small subunit ribosomal RNA (bases 80-210)
Source: RNAcentral
CAGAGAACUUCUCUAUACCAUAGAUUCGNUGCCUUCGCGGAACUCUGACACACCGUGCUGCUNUAGGCUGUACUGUCAGACUCGGUGUCGUGAGAUGUUGGGUUAAAGUCCCCCGGUUAACGAGCGCNACCCUUGUCNUUAGUUACCAGCACGUAAUGGUGGGCACUCUAAGGAGAUCUGCCGGUGAACAAACCGGAGGAAGGUGGGGAUAGAC